RNAcentral lists this unclassified non-coding RNA (334 nucleotides) under soil metagenome. RNAcentral's name for it is "partial contains 5.8S ribosomal RNA, internal transcribed spacer 2, and large subunit ribosomal RNA". The stretch from base 1 to 120 matches the Rfam family "5.8S ribosomal RNA", at positions 35 to 154 of the family's 154-position model. The record is from RNAcentral.
GAUGAAGAACGUAGCGAAAUGCGAUACGUAAUGUGAAUUGCAGAAUUCAGUGAAUCAUCGAAUCUUUGAACGCACAUUGCGCCCGCCAGCACUCUGGCGGGCAUGCCUGUUCGAGCGUCAUUUCAACCAUCAAGCCCCAGGCUUGCGUUGGAGCCCUGCGGCUGCCGCAGCCUCCUAAAAGCAGUGGCGGGCUCGCUAUCACACCGAGUGCAGUAGAUUACUCUUCGCUCAGGGCGUGCAGCGGGUUCCGGCCGUGAAACCCCCUACUUUUAAAGGUUGACCUCGGAUCAGGUAGGAAUUCCCGCUGAACUUAAGCAUAUCAAUAAGCGGAGGA